Molecule: ribosomal RNA, 453 nt
Filed under: Triticum aestivum (bread wheat)
Lineage: Eukaryota; Viridiplantae; Streptophyta; Magnoliopsida; Poales; Poaceae
Description: partial small subunit ribosomal RNA
Source: RNAcentral
AUGGAGGCCGCGCGCGAGGAGGACGGUGGCGGCCGCGGCGACGACAAGCUGCUGCAGGUGGUGUUCGACCGCAUCCUUCGGCGUCAGGUGGUGUACGACGCGCUUGGGCAGGGCGGAGGUGCCGUCGUGGGUCCAACUGCUCACCAUCGCCUACUACUCCUCGUCACCGCCGCACAGAUGCAGCAGCUCCCCACCGCCGCACAGAUCCGGCAGCUCCUCACCUCCACAGUUCCUCUUCCCGCAGCUCCUCCGACUCCAGCAGCUCCUCCGGUGGUAAAAAUCGAAUCUUGGGACGACGAACCAGGGAUGACGCGAGAGAAAGAGGGCAGCGGCGACGCGGUUAAGGGAGAUGCAGCGAAGCAGGCGAGGGAGAUGCGGCUGCUACGCGGGCGAGGGAGAUGCGCGGCGACGCGGGCGAGGGAGAUGCGGUGGGAGAGAGGCAGAGAGCGAUAG